RNAcentral lists this ribosomal RNA (477 nucleotides) under uncultured Marinomonas sp. Its description in RNAcentral is "bacterial SSU rRNA". It matches the Rfam family "Bacterial small subunit ribosomal RNA", at positions 97 to 570 of the family's 1533-position model. Lineage: Bacteria; Pseudomonadati; Pseudomonadota; Gammaproteobacteria; Oceanospirillales; Oceanospirillaceae. The record is from RNAcentral.
GGCGGACGGGUGAGUAACGCGUAGGAAUCUGCCUAGUAGAGGGGGACAACAUGUGGAAACGCAUGCUAAUACCGCAUACGCCCUACGGGGGAAAGGAGGGGAUCUUCGGACCUUCCGCUAUUAGAUGAGCCUGCGUAAGAUUAGCUAGUUGGUAGGGUAAAGGCCUACCAAGGCGACGAUCUUUAACUGGUCUGAGAGGAUGGCCAGUCACACUGGGACUGAGACACGGCCCAGACUCCUACGGGAGGCAGCAGUGGGGAAUAUUGGACAAUGGGCGGAAGCCUGAUCCAGCCAUGCCGCGUGUGUGAAGAAGGCCUUAGGGUUGUAAAGCACUUCCAGGAGUGAGGAAGGGCGUUUGGUUAAUACCCAAAUGUUUUGACGUUAGCUCCAGAAGAAGCACCGGCUAACUCUGUGCCAGCAGCCGCGGUAAUACAGAGGGUGCAAGCGUUAAUCGGAAUUACUGGGCGUAAAGCGCGC